RNAcentral lists this ribosomal RNA (567 nucleotides) under Triticum aestivum (bread wheat). Its description in RNAcentral is "partial small subunit ribosomal RNA". Lineage: Eukaryota; Viridiplantae; Streptophyta; Magnoliopsida; Poales; Poaceae. The record is from RNAcentral.
AAAGAUGGGCCGAAAGCAAGGGCAGACUUGAAAUCAAUGGGCAUCAGGCAGGAGCUUCACGCUAUAUAUGAUGAUGAUGAUGAUGAUGAUGAUGAUGAGGCGAAGCAGGACACAGAAAGUCGUCGCAAAGGCAAAAAGGCCAAGAAGACCGGAAAUGACUACCCUCCCGCGUGCUUCACUCUAAGUCAGGAGGAGAUCGAGCAGUUUUUCACCUGCCUCCUAGGAGUAAAACUUCCUGACGGUUACGCGGGGAACAUAAGCAGAUACCUAGACCCAGCGAAGCAGAAGUUCAGCGGGAUGAAGUCUCACGACUGUCACGUGCUGAUGACGCAGAUACUUCCAGUUGCAAUUCGUGGGAUCAUGGACGCGCACAUCCGUGAAAUGCUAUUUGGCCUAUGCAACUUCUUCGACGUCAUCUCUCGGAAGUCGAUUGGCGUGAGGCAACUCAGAAGGCUACAGGAAGAGAUCAUGGUGAUACUAUGCGAGCUUGAGAUGUACUUCCCGCCUGCAUUCUUCGACGUUAUGGUGCAUCUGCUGGUCCAUAUAGUGGAGGAUAUCAUCCAACUC